CCUACGGGAGGCAGCAGUGGGGAAUAUUGGGCAAUGGGCGCAAGCCUGACCCAGCAACGCCGCGUGAAGGAAGAAUGCCCUCGGGUUGUAAACUUCCUUUUAUAGGGAAGUGUAGAAUUCGGUACCUGACGUAUAAGCUAUGGCUAACUACGUGCGAGCAGCUGCGGUAAUACGUAGGUGGCCAGCGUUAUCCGGAUUUACUGGGUGUAACGGGCGUGUAGGCGGGUUGACAAGUCAGAUGUGAAAGCCUGCGGCUUAACCGCAGAACUGCAGUUGAAACUGGUGUUCUUGAGUACUGGAGAGGCAGACGGAAUUCCUGGUGUAGCGGUGAAAUGCGUAGAUAUUAGGAGGAACACCGGUGGCGAAGGCAGUCUGCUGGACAGCAACUGACGGUGAGGCGCGAAAGCGUGGGGAGCAAACAGGAUUAGAUACCCUGGUAGUC
This 442-nucleotide ribosomal RNA is filed under the name uncultured bacterium. RNAcentral's name for it is "partial 16S ribosomal RNA". It matches the Rfam family "Bacterial small subunit ribosomal RNA", at positions 338 to 795 of the family's 1533-position model. The record is from RNAcentral.